This 825-nucleotide long non-coding RNA is filed under the name Panax ginseng (ginseng). Its description in RNAcentral is "long non-coding RNA (PGIN_LNC018234)". Lineage: Eukaryota; Viridiplantae; Streptophyta; Magnoliopsida; Apiales; Araliaceae. The record is from RNAcentral.
CAGAACAUUAAUAGACUCUCUAUUACACUACUUUAAAUAAUUAAUUGCAUCAAUUAAAAUCGAAUCGAAGGAUUUCAAAAUUAAUGAAUUUCAUACCUUUUCUAGCUUCGAUUUUUGAUUUUUUUGGCUUUGAUGCUUCUGAUUUGUUGUUUGUGAUGGUUGGGCUUUGUUUAGGGACUGAUAUGCUAGAUAAUUUCGUUGGCUAGAGGUUGAGAGAGUCUAGGAUGAGAGUUAGGAAAAUUCAAGUGUGCAUUUUGCAUUAACUCUCUUUGAUCUCUAUUUAUAGGACAAUUCUAAUGCUUUGGAUGCUCAAUUUGGUUGUAUAAUUGAGGUGUAAUGGUAUAGUAGCAUGAGGGAAUUCUAGAAGGUGGUGGUUGGCUAGCUUUUGCAAAGAUUCUAGCAACAAUGCUACUAAUAAUACACUAAAAUGGACAAAAAGGGUAUUUUGGUAAUUUCCCAUAUAAUUUCAUGGGCAUUCUUGUACAUAGCAAUUAAAUGUAAUAUUUAAUCACUAGAUGGUAAUUCUUAUCAUUUACCAAUUACUUUUCAUCCUUUGGUAAAUUAAAACAUUUAUACAUUAACAUCGUAAUUAAACCCAAUAAUUUUAAAUUAGGGUUUUUGAUUGAAAAAUUAGGGUUCUAAAAUUAGGGUUUCUUAACGCCAUCAAUUAGGGUUUCUAAUUGACCAUUAGGGUUCUCUAAUUAUCUGUGUAUGUUCUAACACAGUCAUUACGAUCUCUAACUUCAACCGAUUAGGGUUGUAAUAAUUAGGGUUUGUCCUAAUUAUCGACAAACAACAGUAAUUAGGGUUUUCUUCUAAUUACCG